RNAcentral lists this ribosomal RNA (253 nucleotides) under uncultured bacterium. RNAcentral's name for it is "partial 16S ribosomal RNA". It matches the Rfam family "Bacterial small subunit ribosomal RNA", at positions 524 to 776 of the family's 1533-position model. The record is from RNAcentral.
GACGAACCGUGCGAACGUUGUUCGGAAUCACUGGGCUUAAAGGGCGCGUAGGCUGGCCGCCAAGUCAGGGGUGAAAUCCUCCAGCUUAACUGGAGAACGGCCUCUGAUACUGGCGGCCUCGAGGAAGGUAGGGGCGUGUGGAACUCUAGGUGGAGCGGUGAAAUGCGUUGAUAUCUAGAGGAACUCCGGUGGCGAAGGCGACACGCUGGACCUUUUCUGACGCUGAGGCGCGAAAGCCAGGGGAGCAAACGGG